UGCUCCCAUUUCGAGUCAAGAGAUAGAUAAAUAGAGUGUGAAGCAGUGUCAAACCAAAAUACCCAACAAGCAUUAGC
Molecule: transfer RNA, 77 nt
Filed under: Prunus dulcis (almond)
Lineage: Eukaryota; Viridiplantae; Streptophyta; Magnoliopsida; Rosales; Rosaceae
Description: tRNA-Ile
Source: RNAcentral